Molecule: long non-coding RNA, 1053 nt
Organism: Aquila chrysaetos chrysaetos
Lineage: Eukaryota; Metazoa; Chordata; Aves; Accipitriformes; Accipitridae
Exons: 3
Source: RefSeq, a predicted model, not a curated record
GAUAGAAGAGCUCUGACUGUUACCAUACGCUAUACAUGUGCUCAAAGAAAACACUGCCGAUAGGAGAGGACUGAGGCAGGCGUUGACAGGCAGAGAGUAACUGGAACAGUGACUACAUCCAUCCCACCCUGUUCUCUCCGGAGGUCCAGCCCACGAUGAGGACACGGUCGGUCAGUCGUACCCCAUCUCAGCUGCGCUCCGAUGCCUUUAGCUGAACUCCGGUGACUUUAGCUGGAGGAUAUGAUUAAAAGAGGUCUCUGAUGUUGCUUGGGUAGUGGAUGACGCCAUUUCUACACUGUCAUGUACUGAAGAGGCACGGAAAUUUUUUUCUCAGGUGGUUGAAACAUGUAGAACUGAUCUGAAGGAGGUUGCCUCUGAACUGGUAGCAUAGCCAUGUCAUCAGAUCCAGGCUGAAAAGUCCACCCUUCCCACGCUGAGCCCCUUCAGAGACCUUCCCUCCCCAGGGGGCACAUGUUGUUCUGCCUGUGCAGAGCAUUUCCACAGCUGGGACCUCACCUUAAACUGACACUACAAGACUGUCAUCAAUAUUUUGCUGGUUUUAAUUUUAUUGCCUUUCCUCCCACUGGUUCCACUUUUCUAUUUAUUUUCCCUGUGCCUGAGUGCUUGCAUUUAUGAAGAUCAAAGCCAUGGAAAAGUGAAGUGAGAAGCUUUCCCACCUGAAUUUCCUCAAAAGAAAAUCCUUACUCUUGAGGUGCCAGAGAAGAAACUUGCUUGGUGGCAGUGUGCCUGGUACCAAAGAGGGACACAAAGGCCACAUCUGUACGAGUGCAAUGUCCGGCCACUGGUGCUCCGUUGUCAGUAUGCUCAUCUUGGUGGGACAGUCCUAGGCACAAAUUUGGCCCUAGCUCUGCCCAAGCCAUUCCCAGGGAGGAUUCAAGACAUAACCCAACACAAGGUCCAUCCCUAGCCACAAAUUGGAUGCACCCACCCCUUUAAAGGGUAAAAGUGUAAUAGCAUGGAUGUGGCCUUAGCACACCAAGCAACCUCAAGGUCGGAGAAAAGGCAAAGAAGACUCUUAUAAGACAAAACUGA